Molecule: ribosomal RNA, 893 nt
Filed under: uncultured bacterium
Lineage: Bacteria
Description: bacterial SSU rRNA
Rfam family: Bacterial small subunit ribosomal RNA
Source: RNAcentral
GUCGAGGGGCAGCACGAUGUAGCAAUACAUUGGUGGCGACCGGCGCACGGGUGAGUAACGCGUAUGCAACCUACCUAUCAGAGGGGAAUAACCCGGCGAAAGUCGGACUAAUACCGCAUAAAACAGGGGUUCCACAUGGAAAUAUUUGUUAAAGAAUUAUCGCUGAUAGAUGGGCAUGCGUUCCAUUAGAUAGUUGGUGAGGUAACGGCUCACCAAGUCCACGAUGGAUAGGGGUUCUGAGAGGAAGGUCCCCCACACUGGUACUGAGACACGGACCAGACUCCUACGGGAGGCAGCAGUGAGGAAUAUUGGUCAAUGGGCGAGAGCCUGAACCAGCCAAGUCGCGUGAAGGAUGAAGGAUCUAUGGUUUGUAAACUUCUUUUAUAUGGGAAUAAAGUGAGGAACGUGUUCCUUUUUGUAUGUACCAUAUGAAUAAGCAUCGGCUAACUCCGUGCCAGCAGCCGCGGUAAUACGGAGGAUGCGAGCGUUAUCCGGAUUUAUUGGGUUUAAAGGGUGCGUAGGUGGUUAAUUAAGUCAGCGGUGAAAGUUUGUGGCUCAACCAUAAAAUUGCCGUUGAAACUGGUUGACUUGAGUAUAUUUGAGGUAGGCGGAAUGCGUGGUGUAGCGGUGAAAUGCAUAGAUAUCACGCAGAACUCCGAUUGCGAAGGCAGCUUACUAAACUAUAACUGACACUGAAGCACGAAAGCGUGGGGAUCAAACAGGAUUAGAUACCCUGGUAGUCCACGCAGUAAACGAUGAUUACUAGCUGUUUGCGAUACACAGUAAGCGGCACAGCGAAAGCGUUAAGUAAUCCACCUGGGGAGUACGCCGGCAACGGUGAAACUCAAAGGAAUUGACGGGGGCCCGCACAAGCGGAGGAACAUGUGGUUUAA